UGUAAUCGGAUGGUACAGAAAUAUCAAU
RNAcentral lists this small RNA (28 nucleotides) under Bombyx mori (domestic silkworm). Its description in RNAcentral is "ovarian small RNA-35371". The record is from RNAcentral. Lineage: Eukaryota; Metazoa; Arthropoda; Insecta; Lepidoptera; Bombycidae.